GGUGGUGACUUGUAGUAAUAUGGCGGUGGAGGUGGUGACUUAUAGAUAUAAGUUGGCGGUGGAGGUGGUGGAGACUUGUAAAUGUAAGUGGGAGGAGGUGGUGGUGGGGAAGUGUAAUAGUAAGGAGCAGGUGUGGGCUUAGGCUUAGGCUUCUCACACUCCUCAUAAGGGGUCUUAGGAGCAUAAGCAAAUGGCUUAGCAUAGAGGACAACUUCAUACUUUGUCUUGGACUUCACCUUGAGCUCGGCACCCUUCUUGCCCCAGUGAAGGUUAGUUGGAAUGUUACAUGGUGAGUCUUUGGGUGCCUUAUGGAGCUUGGCCUUGCAAGCCUCGGCUCCAUAUUUGCCAUACUCAAAGCCCUCGACGGUGAUACUGUAUUUUCCGUUGAUCUUGGUUUUGCCAUAGGCCUUGAUCUCCUUUUCACCUACCUUGCAUGUGACCUCCACUACAGCACCUUUGAGAUGCUUCUUGUCGUGUGAUUUCUUAGGAUAAUCCCAGUCAUAGCACCUGUAGCAGUACACCUUUCCUACCACCUUCACUACGAAAUGAUGGGGAUGGGGAUGUGGGUGAGGGUAAGGGACGGGUGGUGGUGGAGAAGUGUAGUAGUAUGGUGGAGGAUAAGCCUUAGGUGGUGGUGGAGAAGUGUAAUAGUAUGGAGGGGGAUAAGCCUUAGGUGGUGGUGGUGAUUUGUAAUAGUAUGGUGGGGAAGGAGAUGGUGAAGGAGGAGGUGGAGACUUAUAGUAAUAAGGAGGGUGAGGAGAUGGUGAGGGUGGUGGUGGAGACUUGUAGUAGUAAGGUGGCGGUGGUGAAGGUGAGGGUGGUGGGGGAGACUUGUAGUAAUAUGGUGGUGGUGGUGAUGGAGAUGGAGGUGGUGGGGACUUAUAGUAAUAGGGUGGAGGAGGAGAUGGUGAUGGUGGGGGAGGAGACUUGUAAUAGUAUGGGGGUGGAGGAGAGGGUGAUGGAGGUGGUGGAGACUUAUAGUAAUAUGGUUCCGGUGCUGGUGAUUUUGUGGGUGGUGGUGGAGAUUUGUAGUAGUAGGGUGGAGGAGGAGAGGGCGAUGGUGGGGGAGGAGAUUUGUAGUAGUAUAGAGGUGGUGGUGAGGGAGAUGGGGGUGGUGGUGACUUAUAGUAGUAGGGUGGAGGAGGAGAUGGCGAUGGUGGGGGAGGAGAUUUGUAGUAGUAUAGAGGUGGUGGUGAGGGAGAUGGGGGUGGUGGUGACUUAUAGUAGUAGGGUGGAGGAGGAGAUGGCAAUGGUGGGGGAGGAGAUUUAUAGUAGUAAGGAGGUGGUGGUGAUGGAGAUGGGGGUGGUGGUGAAUUAUAGUAGUAAGGUGGAGGAGGAGAUGGCGA
Molecule: unclassified non-coding RNA, 1346 nt
Filed under: Hevea brasiliensis (rubber tree)
Lineage: Eukaryota; Viridiplantae; Streptophyta; Magnoliopsida; Malpighiales; Euphorbiaceae
Source: RNAcentral